GGUUAAGCGACUAAGCGUACACGGUGGAUGCCCUGGCAGUCAGAGGCGAUGAAGGGCGUGCUAAUCUGCGAUAAGCGCCGGUAAGGUGAUAUGAACCGUUAUAACCGGCGAUACCCGAAUGGGGAAACCCAGUGUGACUCGUCACACUAUCAUUAACUGAAUCAUAGGUUAUGAGGCGACCGGGGAA
RNAcentral lists this ribosomal RNA (187 nucleotides) under Salmonella enterica subsp. enterica serovar Agona str. 400095 11. RNAcentral describes it as "partial 23S ribosomal RNA". It matches the Rfam family "Bacterial large subunit ribosomal RNA", at positions 1 to 192 of the family's 2925-position model. Lineage: Bacteria; Pseudomonadati; Pseudomonadota; Gammaproteobacteria; Enterobacterales; Enterobacteriaceae. The record is from RNAcentral.